AUUGAACGCUGGCGGCAUGCCUUACACAUGCAAGUCGAACGGUAACGCGGGGCAACCUGGCGACGAGUGGCGAACGGGUGAGUAAUGCAUCGGAACGUGCCCAGUAGUGGGGGAUAGCCCGGCGAAAGCCGGAUUAAUACCGCAUACGACCUACGGGUGAAAGCGGGGGACCGUAAGGCCCCGCGCUAUUGGAGCGGCCGAUGUCAGAUUAGGUUGUUGGUGGGGUAAAGGCCUACCAAGCCGACGAUCUGUAGCUGGUCUGAGAGGACGACCGGCCAAACUGGGACUGAGACACGGCCCAGCCUCCUACGGGAGGCAGCAGUGGGGAAUUUUGGACAAUGGGGGCAACCCUGAUCCAGCCAUGCCGCGUGCGGGAAGAAGGCCUUCGGGUUGUAAACCGCUUUUGUCAGGGAAGAAACGCUCUGGGCUAAUACCCUGGGGUAAUGACGGUACCUGAAGAAUAAGCACCGGCUAACUACGUGCCAGCCGCCGCCGUAA
Molecule: ribosomal RNA, 498 nt
Filed under: uncultured bacterium
Lineage: Bacteria
Description: partial 16S ribosomal RNA
Rfam family: Bacterial small subunit ribosomal RNA
Source: RNAcentral